This 513-nucleotide ribosomal RNA is filed under the name uncultured bacterium. Its description in RNAcentral is "partial 16S ribosomal RNA". It matches the Rfam family "Bacterial small subunit ribosomal RNA", at positions 28 to 523 of the family's 1533-position model. The record is from RNAcentral.
GAUGAACGCUGGCGGCGUGCCUAAUACAUGCAAGUCGAGCGAACAGACGAGGAGCUUGCUCCUCUGACGUUAGCGGCAGACGGGUGAGUAACACGUGGAUAACCUACCUAUAAGACUGGGAUAACUUCGGGAAACCGGAGCUAAUACCGGAUAAUAUAUUGAACCGCAUGGUUCAAUAGUGAAAGACGGUUUUGCUGUCACUUAUAGAUGGAUCCGCGCCGCAUUAGCUAGUUGGUAAGGUAACGGCUUACCAAGGCAACGAUGCGUAGCCGACCUGCGAGUGUCAUCGGCCACACUGGAACUGCGACACGGUCCAGACUCCUACGGGAGGCAGCAGUAGGGAAUCUUCCGCAAUGGGCGAAAGCCUGACGGAGCAACGCCGCGUGCGUGAUGCAGGUCUUAGGAUCGUAAAACUCUGUUAUUAGGGAAGAACAAAUGUGUAAGUAACUAUGCACGUCUUGACGGUACCUAAUCAGAAAGCCACGGCUAACUACGUGCCAGCAGCCGCCGCGG